Non-coding RNA from Acanthosepion pharaonis, 105 nucleotides. Lineage: Eukaryota; Metazoa; Mollusca; Cephalopoda; Sepiida; Sepiidae. The record is from the annotation of a GenBank genome assembly.
UAUGGCCAUAUCACGUUGAAACAUUGGUUCACGUUCGAUCACCGAAGUUAAGCAACGUCGAGCCGGGCCAGUACACAGAUUGGUGACUUCUGGAGAAUACCAGGU